RNAcentral lists this unclassified non-coding RNA (388 nucleotides) under uncultured fungus. RNAcentral describes it as "sequence contains ITS1". The stretch from base 1 to 111 matches the Rfam family "5.8S ribosomal RNA", at positions 50 to 154 of the family's 154-position model. Lineage: Eukaryota; Fungi. The record is from RNAcentral.
GAAAUGCGAUACGUAAUGUGAAUUGCAGGAUUCAGUGAAUCAUCAAGACCUUGAACGCAAAUGGUACUAUACGGGUUUUCGGAUUCGUGUAGUAUAUCUGUUUGAGUGCUAGUUUGUCUUUAUCAAACCCUACGUUGUCUUUUUUCAAAAAGACGGGUGGGUGUUUGGAGAGUGACGCUUGUUGCGAACCGUUUUCAUCGGAUCGCAUGCGUUCAAGUGCAUUGCUGUGAGAACGACAUCUCACAAAAUGGUGAAGUAGUGUGAUUCAGUUCACUCAAUAAAUACCCGCCAAUUUGUUGUUGUCAUUCAAAAAACUCGCGGCUUCGCAGGAAAUAAAUCAAACUUAUCAAAUAGCCUCAAAUCAGAUAAGACUACCCGCUGAAUUUAA